ACCCUACGGAUUCCUUACCCCUCAGAUCUAAAUAUUGGUGUGAGUGGCUAAAAACAGGAGACAAAAUAAAAGUGAAGUGAACAUGGAGUCUUUGGUGACAUACAAGUUCAUUUCAAACAUAA
Molecule: small nucleolar RNA, 122 nt
Filed under: Echinops telfairi (small Madagascar hedgehog)
Lineage: Eukaryota; Metazoa; Chordata; Mammalia; Afrosoricida; Tenrecidae
Description: Small nucleolar RNA SNORA61 (ENSETEG00000025596.1)
Source: RNAcentral